UACGAAGGGGGCUAGCGUUGCUCGGAAUCACUGGGCGUAAAGCGCACGUAGGCGGCCACUUAAGUCGGGUGUGAAAGCCCUCGGCUUAACCGAGGAAGUGCAUUCGAAACUGGGUGGCUUGAAUACUGGAGAGGAUGGCGGAAUUCCCGGUGUAGAGGUGAAAUUCGUAGAUAUCGGGAGGAACACCAGCGGCGAAGGCGGCCAUCUGGACAGAUAUUGACGCUGAGGUGCGAAAGCGUGGGGAGCAAACAGG
This 253-nucleotide ribosomal RNA is filed under the name uncultured bacterium. RNAcentral describes it as "partial 16S ribosomal RNA". It matches the Rfam family "Bacterial small subunit ribosomal RNA", at positions 524 to 776 of the family's 1533-position model. The record is from RNAcentral.